This 1135-nucleotide long non-coding RNA is filed under the name Gossypium barbadense (sea-island cotton). RNAcentral describes it as "long non-coding RNA (GBAR_LNC014573)". The record is from RNAcentral. Lineage: Eukaryota; Viridiplantae; Streptophyta; Magnoliopsida; Malvales; Malvaceae.
GGGUUGUGGCGUAGUUUAAGCAGAGAGGGUGCGCAGGAUAAAGCUAUUCACCAUUGUUUCAACAUGAAGGUUUGUAAUAAAAAUUUGUUUCUAUCAGCAUUGCUUUGCAUUGCUGUUGCAGGAGUUUUGGGUCAAGCUCCUAGUAAUCCUCCUACGUCUACGCCGGCGCCACCCACACCACCGGCUUCUACUCCUCCUCCGACGACUCAAGCACCGCCUACACCAACCGCCACUCCGCCACCGGUUUCUACUCCUCCUCCCACUUCAUCACCGCCCCCAGUGACAGCUUCUCCACCCCCAGUUUCAACUCCUCCACCCAGUUCUCCUCCUCCUGCAACUCCACCACCUGCUUCUCCUCCUCCUGCAACUCCACCUCCAGCUUCUCCACCUCCUGCCACUCCUCCACCAGCUUCUCCACCUCCCGCCACUCCACCACCUGCAACCCCACCGCCAGCAACUCCUCCUCCUGCUACCCCACCACCAGCUCCAUUGGCUUCUCCUCCAGCCACAGUCCCAGCUAUCUCUCCAGUACAAACACCAUUGACAUCGCCACCAGCUCCGCCGACCGAGGCCCCAGCACCUACCCUCGGGGCUGCUACGCCAGGUCCAGCUGGAACUGACACGGUACAUUUUCUCUUAUUCCACCAUUUUAUAUCCUUCUUCUCCACCUACGAUCAAGCUUUAUUAUCGGUUGAAAUUUAAGCCUUUACAGCAAGACUUAAAAUAUAAUUUUAUUAAUGGUUUUAUAAUAUUAAAUUAUAAUUUUAUCAUUCUUACACAUUAAUAUAUAAUGUGAUAAAAUUUUUUACUUUGGGUACCGUGCCAACUUCCUAACGUCGCCCUUAAUCUUACAUAAACAACGAUCUGAGCUUGUCUCGAUAUUAGCUAACCCUUAAGCCAUUAGAGAUGGCUAUUGGUUCCGUCUCGACAUACCUUCAACAUAAUCUGAUUUAAAAUUAAAUACUUAUAUCUAUUUUUUAACACAAUAUUUAAAAUUAUCUAUAAUUUCUUCUCAACUUAUAAUUAAAAUAACAAUACUUCAGCGUAUUCAAAUUUACGUACCUAUGUUAAUCUAAUUUGACAAUAAUAUUUAUGUUAAUUGAAUUAAAGCUUGAGAUAUUAAAUUUAAUUAAGA